UACGAAGGGGGCUAGCGUUGCUCGGAAUCACUGGGCGUAAAGGGUGCGUAGGCGGGUCUUUAAGUCAGGGGUGAAAUCCUGGAGCUCAACUCCAGAACUGCCUUUGAAACUGCCUGGCUUGAGGCCGGGAGGGGGUAGCGGAAUUCCCAGUGUAGAGGUGAAAUUCGUAGAUAUUGGGAAGAACACCGGUGGCGAAGGCGGCGACCUGGUCCUUGACUGACGCUGAGGCGCGAAAGCGUGGGGAGCAAACAGG
RNAcentral lists this ribosomal RNA (253 nucleotides) under uncultured bacterium. RNAcentral's name for it is "partial 16S ribosomal RNA". It matches the Rfam family "Bacterial small subunit ribosomal RNA", at positions 524 to 776 of the family's 1533-position model. The record is from RNAcentral.